AUUGAACGCUGGCGGCAUGCUUUACACAUGCAAGUCGAACGGCAGCGGGGGCUUCGGCCUGCCGGCGAGUGGCGAACGGGUGAGUAAUGCAUCGGAACGUGCCCAUGUCGUGGGGGAUAACGUAUCGAAAGGUACGCUAAUACCGCAUACGUCCUGAGGGAGAAAGCGGGGGAUCUUCGGACCUCGCGCGAUUGGAGCGGCCGAUGUCGGAUUAGCUAGUAGGUGAGGUAAAGGCUCACCUAGGCGACGAUCCGUAGCGGGUCUGAGAGGAUGAUCCGCCACACUGGGACUGAGACACGGCCCAGACUCCUACGGGAGGCAGCAGUGGGGAAUUUUGGACAAUGGGCGCAAGCCUGAUCCAGCCAUGCCGCGUGAGUGAAGAAGGCCUUCGGGUUGUAAAGCUCUUUCGGCCGGGAAGAAAUCGUGUUCUCUAACAUAGGACAUGGAUGACGGUACCGGACUAAGAAGCACCGGCUAACUACGUG
Molecule: ribosomal RNA, 485 nt
Filed under: uncultured bacterium
Lineage: Bacteria
Also listed under: 1 other name
Description: bacterial SSU rRNA
Rfam family: Bacterial small subunit ribosomal RNA
Source: RNAcentral